RNAcentral lists this transfer RNA (74 nucleotides) under Raineyella antarctica. It matches the Rfam family "tRNA". Rfam says of the family: Transfer RNA (tRNA) molecules are approximately 80 nucleotides in length. Their secondary structure includes four short double-helical elements and three loops (D, anti-codon, and T loops). RNAcentral also lists the same sequence under 3 other names. Lineage: Bacteria; Bacillati; Actinomycetota; Actinomycetes; Propionibacteriales; Propionibacteriaceae. The record is from Rfam by way of RNAcentral.
GGCGGGGUAGCUCAGUUGGUGAGAGCGCACGACUCAUAAUCGUGAGGUCGCGGGUUCGAAUCCCGCCCUCGCUA